RNAcentral lists this long non-coding RNA (334 nucleotides) under Gossypium raimondii (Peruvian cotton). RNAcentral's name for it is "long non-coding RNA (GRAI_LNC005271)". The record is from RNAcentral. Lineage: Eukaryota; Viridiplantae; Streptophyta; Magnoliopsida; Malvales; Malvaceae.
GAAACUAAAAACUAAAUUUUGAGGAAAACAAAACAUGUUCUCUCUGUAGUGGCCCAAAUUCGUUCGGUCCAGACAAAACAAAAACCAAAAAAUAAUAUUAAUACCAAAGUCCAUUUACCAAAAAAAUAGAUUAGCCCAAAUUACAAGCCCAAACCUAAACUACCCUAACCCAAACCUACUAAACCCAAUAACCCAGCAGCCCAAAACCUAAAAAAUUUUCAGAAAUCCCAACUCUCUCUUGUGCCGCAGCCUCACCAUGUCGGCAGACUUGCCGUCUGACACCUCUUCUGCCGCCACCACCUGCAAAACAACAAAGAAACAUAAGCAAAAAGCA